UCCUAAAGUGAUUCGGACAUCUGAGCCUGGUCAGGAAUCAGGGGUAAGAACAAUUCUUUCAUAUUUAACUUUCUUUCCCUUCACCAUCACUCAUACCAUUUGUCCAACAUUGUAGGAGUACUCUAACAAAACUCCUGCCUCGGCUCGUCACAAAAGAGGCUGCAACUGUAAGAAGUCAUCGUGUCUAAAAAAGUACUGCGAAUGUUAUCAGGUACAUACUCUUAUAUGGUUUAAUAUUCUUUACUUAGCUGGCUAGCGUACCUGAAUUUGUAUUACUGUACUCUUCAUCAAGGGUGGCGUGGGAUGCUCCAUAAGUUGCAGAUGCGAGGGAUGCAAGAAUGCUUUUGGUAGAAGGGAGGGUGAGCUCCUUUUAUCUCUUUUUAUAUACACUUAUCUUAUAAAUCUGCAAACUUCUGCAUGCAUCACAGCGCAUAGUUUCAUCUUUAGCCUUUAGGUUGACAGCACUUGCUUCAGACAAACAAAAGUACAAAACAUACCCAACAAGUGUCCUUUGAUUUGUCAAUACAUGUUACUCUCUGAAAUGUGCUCUAUUGACAAUGUUUUGUAGGAACGAUGUGAUAAGUUUAGUUUUUUUUUUCCGAAUCAUGUGAUAAGUUUAGAAGACCUGGCUACACUGGUUUAGUUUUAAUUUGGACCAUUGCCUGCUGAAAAUAUAACCUGUUUCUGUUAGGAGGCUGCCAGCCAUCAUUUCCUUAUAACCACAAUCACACCCAUACUACCACAUCAUUAUUGGUGUGCUUCUGCAAAUUUUUGAAAUGAAAAUAUACAGGCAAGACAUCUGAUGAUUAGCUCGUAAAUGGGUGGUGUUAUUUUGUGUAAAGUAAGAUGUCACAGUACAUUGUAAACAUGUACAUAAAUUCUUUUUAAAUGCAAUAGCACCAAAUAGGCCAAUGAGAAAGAAAAGGGAUAAUCAUCUUGGUGGAACCAAAGUUUUGGUACUUGUGUGACUGACAUAUCUCUUUCUUGUAUUGUUCACUGAAAUUUUGGUGCUAGCCAUUACUGUUAAGUAGAAGGUCGUAAGUCUUCUUGAAAUUUUGUUACUAGCCAUCAGUAUCUACCAGCUUUUGAUGUUCCUUUUGUCCAUUGAAGGGCUCGGACCGUUAAGCAUUGAGGAAGCUAAGCAGGGAAAUGAGGAAAAUAGUGCUUGUGUGAAGGAAGAAAAAAAGGAAGAUGAUAAUAAUCAGCUCGUUAUCUGCCCAGCUGCUAAUCCAGCUCCUGCUGAGAAUGUACUGACAACACCUUCAGCUAUGGAUAUCAGGUUUGUGAGUCACACCUUUGUGGCUUUGCACAUAUGUUACCAUGAAAUGUGAACCUACUGUUAGGUAAAAUACUGAACUUUGAAGCAAUUUUCUAUUCUUCAGACCCUUGGCUUCUCUUCCACCUUCAAGCUCUAAGAGGCCACGGUCUACGACAAAGGUCCUCGGACAUCCUUCUCGACUAUGCAACUCUCAAGCUCCUCUGAAGACGGACACUGUGCUCUCCCCAUUUGAAAACUAUGCAGAAAUUAUGUUUGGGGUGGGUACAUCAGAUAGCCUGAAAGGAGGGUUAUCUCCUCAAACUUCUGUCAAGGUCGUGUCACCGAAUAAAAAGAGGGUAUCUCCCCCGCGCAUUGGUACUGGGUUGUCUCCAAUUUGCAAGAGUGGCAGGAAGUUGAUCCUGAAAUCCAUCCCUUCAUUCCCUUCUCUUGGUGGUGAUGUAAAUAACGCGGAUACCAAGACCACCUUGCCAGCUCCUUGAAUUCAUCAAGCAUUUGUCACUGAGGUAAACCUUUAUCUUUUCCUCGUUGAGAUGUAAAUUCAGUUUCCAGUCUUUAUUCAUCCAGUUAACAGCUAUUCCUAUGCAGGUCAUUUCAUUAGUUCCUUGUUGAUUCCCCAGAUGGCCAAUGCCUCGUAGCUGCAUCAGCUCCUUAUCCUUGAGAGUUUAAUGAACAUCCAAGGGAGUUUUAUUUCGCCAGUUCUUUUUAGAGCCUGAUAAGUAUCCCAUGAUCCUAUAGUGGACCGUUGAAUAAUAAUGUACCAAAAUACCCCCUCGAGAGUCUUCGGCAUGCUAGUAAUUAUAUCCACACCUGUGGAGACAGAGUCCUUGUUGAGUUGCACAUCCAUGUUCAUCUGUAUAAUUAAUUUAUAUAUUUUUGAAUCUAUGUAACUGUAACUGAGAUCAAAUCACCGAGCCUUAGAUGUACUUAUGGUCAGAAACCUUUAAGAUUUAUAUGUAAGAACUCUGGGUAUUUUGG
RNAcentral lists this long non-coding RNA (2254 nucleotides) under Triticum aestivum (bread wheat). RNAcentral's name for it is "long non-coding RNA (TAES_LNC005120)". The record is from RNAcentral. Lineage: Eukaryota; Viridiplantae; Streptophyta; Magnoliopsida; Poales; Poaceae.